AUGCAGGGCGGAGGAAACGACCCGAUUGGAAGUCGGGAAAGGACCUUUGAACUGUUCAGCAUGGAACGUCAGACGUGCCCACGCCAAGUUGGUGGGAUGAGAGGGGACCAUGGUUGGAUGUCGGGGAUAAACCCAGAAUCUGGUUGAUGCUACAGGGAAGUGCUGGAGAGCAGAAGACCGCAGCCUGUGGGACAAGCAGGACCUUGAAGUCCUGAGUCUGCCUUUUGUUGGGCAGCACACGGUGAGGCUUGGCCUGUUUCUUUCUCCGACCUUUGCUGUCACAGUCCCCAACAUGACCACUGGAGGUACUUGGCUGGGCAUUUACUCCAGAAUGGGAGAUGCCAUGGAGCUCCUCUAGGCUCCUUCCUUGAAUGAAUGGAGUCUCCUGGAACAGUAGUCCGGCCUGGGGGACUGUGUUCUGCAGUUGGACAUGUUGACCAAAGUCAAGUAAGAUGGUGGCAAUUUCAAGUGUCUCCUUUAAAGGGCACUUAAACACCCCACAUUUAUCCUGGGAAACCAAUUCACCAUCUCCUCUGUCUGCAGCCUACAAUGAAAAGGAACUCUGUAAAUUAUCUGAA
This is a long non-coding RNA of Clupea harengus (Atlantic herring), 578 nucleotides long. The record is from Ensembl. Lineage: Eukaryota; Metazoa; Chordata; Actinopteri; Clupeiformes; Clupeidae.